This 220-nucleotide long non-coding RNA is filed under the name Manihot esculenta (cassava). RNAcentral's name for it is "long non-coding RNA (MESC_LNC003512)". The record is from RNAcentral. Lineage: Eukaryota; Viridiplantae; Streptophyta; Magnoliopsida; Malpighiales; Euphorbiaceae.
UUAUAAAUUGUGUUACGUAAUUUUUUUUAUGUACACUCUCUUUUUUUAUAUUAUUUAAAUUAAUGAUGAUUAAAAACUGAUUAAAGUGUAAUUAUUAAUUCGAGCUCGAACCUGAACUUGAGCUCAAACCAAACUUUUUAAUUUUGAGUUCGGUCUCGAGCUUUUUUAACGAGUUUCUUAAUCGAACUUUCCGAGUUCGAGCUCGAGUUUUAUUAACGAG